RNAcentral lists this ribosomal RNA (508 nucleotides) under uncultured bacterium. RNAcentral's name for it is "partial 16S ribosomal RNA". It matches the Rfam family "Bacterial small subunit ribosomal RNA", at positions 28 to 507 of the family's 1533-position model. The record is from RNAcentral.
GACGAACGCUGGCGGCGUGCCUAAUACAUGCAAGUCGAACGCUUCUUUCCUCCCGAGUGCUUGCACUCAAUUGGAAAGAGGAGUGGCGGACGGGUGAGUAACACGUGGGUAACCUACCCAUCAGAGGGGGAUAACACUUGGAAACAGGUGCUAAUACCGCAUAACAGUUUAUGCCGCAUGGCAUAAGAGUGAAAGGCGCUUUCGGGUGUCGCUGAUGGAUUGACCCGCGGUGCAUUAGCUAGUUGGUGAGGUAACGGCUCACCAAGGCCACGAUGCAUAGCCGACCUGAGAGGGUGAUCGGCCACACUGGGACUGAGACACGGCCCAGACUCCUACGGGAGGCAGCAGUAGGGAAUCUUCGGCAAUGGACGAAAGUCUGACCGAGCAACGCCGCGUGAGUGAAGAAGGUGUUCGGAUCGUAAAACUCUGUUGUUAGAGAAGAACAAGGACGUUAGUAAAUGAACGUCCCCUGACGGUAACUAACCAGAAAGCAACGGCUAACUACGUG